GACGAACGCUGGCGGCGCGCUUAACACAUGCAAGUCGAGCGAUGAAAUUUCGACAGAUCCCUUCGGGGUGAAGAUGAAAUGGAUUAGCGGCGGACGGGUGAGUAACACGUGAGUAACCUGCCUUUGACAUUGGGAUAGCCUCGGGAAACUGGGAUUAAUACCAAAUGACACUAACUGAUCACAUGAUCAAUUAGUCAAAGAAAUUCGGUCAAGGAUGGACUCGCGGCUGAUUAGCUAGUUGGUGAGGUAACGGCCCACCAAGGCGACGAUCAGUAGCCGGCCUGAGAGGGUGAUCGGCCACAUUGGAACUGAGACACGGUCCAAACUCCUACGGGAGGCAGCAGUGGGGAAUAUUGCACAAUGGGGGAAACCCUGAUGCAGCGACGCCGCGUGAGCGAAGAAGGCCUUCGGGUCGUAAAGCUCUUUUAUGAGGGAAGAUAAUGACGGUACCUCAAGAAAAAGCCCCGGCUAACUACGUG
This 479-nucleotide ribosomal RNA is filed under the name uncultured bacterium. Its description in RNAcentral is "partial 16S ribosomal RNA". It matches the Rfam family "Bacterial small subunit ribosomal RNA", at positions 28 to 507 of the family's 1533-position model. The record is from RNAcentral.